Molecule: ribosomal RNA, 468 nt
Filed under: uncultured bacterium
Lineage: Bacteria
Description: partial 16S ribosomal RNA
Rfam family: Bacterial small subunit ribosomal RNA
Source: RNAcentral
GACGAACGCUGGCGGCGUGCUUAACACAUGCAAGUCGAACGGCAAGGCCCUGCUUUUGUGGGGUGCUCGAGUGGCGAACGGGUGAGUAACACGUGAGUAACCUGCCCUUGACUUUGGGAUAACUUCAGGAAACUGGGGCUAAUACCGGAUAGGAGCUCCUGCUGCAUGGUGGGGGUUGGAAAGUUUCGGCGGUUGGGGAUGGACUCGCGGCUUAUCAGCUUGUUGGUGGGGUAGUGGCUUACCAAGUCUUUGACGGGUAGCCGGCCUGAGAGGGUGACCGGCCACAUUGGGACUGAGAUACGGCCCAGACUCCUACGGGAGGCAGCAGUGGGGAAUAUGGCACAAUGGGCGGAAGCCUGAUGCAGCAACGCCGCGUGCGGGAUGACGGCCUUCGGGUUGUAAACCGCUUUCGCCUGUGACGAAGCGUGAGUGACGGUAAUGGGUAAAGAAGCACCGGCUAACUACGUG